CUUCCUGGCAUCAGCGGCUCCGGCUCCGAUGAGCUCAUGUCUGGAAGGUUGGGAGCUGCCCUGAAGGAAAAGGUGCCUUCCGGGCCAGGACUCUGGGGCUGGAGGUGUGCUGAGACUGUGGGAAGUUAGCCCUGGCAGGGGGAUGGAGCCUGCUGACCCCCACCUAGUUUGCCUCCUGGAGCUCUGGAGAACUCAGGGAGACAUCCAUCCACACCAGAUCACCAUGACAAGGUGUGGAGGGGAGAUGGAGUAGGCUCCUCCUGUGUUUCUCCCCUCCCUCCAGAUGCUCCACUGUCACUUUGUACCCUCCCACCUAUCAAGGAUUUGCUCUUUCCCAAGGAGAAAGUGUUCUACCUACAGAAUUGCCCUGGGCAAAUUGCUUCCCUUCCUUGGUCUCCGUCUCCCCAACUCAAAAGUGGAGACUAGGUAAAAUGACUCAAGAGGCUAGCCAGGAACCAAGCACCAGAAUGCCACAGAUGAGAAACUGAGGAUCAGAGAGAAGGAAUCAUCCCAAGAUCUCAUUGGGAGAAUAAGGCAGCAGAUGCUCCUACCACGCAAACAGGGCAUUUCCAACUCUCCUGAGGGGGGGUCUCAGCCUCUUUCUGAAGCAAUACCCUGCCAAUCUGGGCAUGCUUGAGGGACUGCGACAGAUUGUCAUGUUUCCUGGGAAAAUAUACGGAGGAACCCCCUGCUGAAGGACCUGUGGGGAGAAGGAAUGCAAGCUUACCUGGUUUCUGGGCCACCCUGGGCCCAGGGCCGGGGCUGGGGCUGACUGUCACCACCUGCCGGGCCUUCACCACAUCCCAAUCCUGGUUGGCCCUGUUGUCAUGCUGGGACCCCUCUCGUGCUUCCCUGGAGCAGCUGGAUGGCUGAAUGCCCAGGGCUCUGGACAUCUGUGGCAGCCCUUGGGUGGCUCUGCAGGCAGAGUUGUCCCUGCUGCUGCUGCUGCUGGCCACCUUGUUGUCUUCCAGGUCCCUGGGCCCCGCCUCUCCCUGCAGGCCCUCUUCACUGCCGCUCUCCUCGGCCUCCAGGGCCAGGCACCUGUAGCUCCCAUCGGGGAUCUGGAAGGUGCAGGGGGUAGGCCUCCCUUCUCCAGGCCCCAGGGGCUGUGGUGGGAAGUGAGGGCCCAGCAUGAGGCUGCCUUUCCUGAUGAGCAGGCGCUGGCCCUGGGCUGGGGCAACUGCCUGAGCGCUGCUCUGAGCUCCGCUCGGUGGUGUCCUCUGGGUCUCUGCAGAUCCACCUUCACAGAGUUGGAGCGAGGUCCAGCUGAGAAGUAAGAUAAGUCCUUUCUGAGCUGGGUGAGGAGGUGGGCCCCCAACACCUUCUUCUUAACACUUCUUGACCUCUGGAAUGAGAGGCCCCUUCAGGGAGAUCUAUCUGUACAGGGAGAAAAGGAACCGCACAUGAGACAGCUCACCCAGUGUUCUGGGCUGAAUUCCUGAGACCUGUCCAUCUGAGGGUGGGCCUGAGAAUUGGGGUUUGGGGUAUGGGCCCCACACACGCACAGGGAAGUGUUGCCCAAGCUUCAGUCACUCAGCAUUCUAGAUUGGCACCCUCUGUGUGUGCUACCUGACACUCUAUGGACUUCAUUUUUUCCUUCAAUCAACUUAUAUAACUUACUUUAAUACUUUCGACUUUCUUAAGCAAUAAUUACAGAAAAAUCACAAGUCUAUUGUGCUAAGUCAUUUCCCCUGAUUCACAUUAAAUAAAUAUCUAGUUAUU
This is a long non-coding RNA of Marmota monax (woodchuck), 1722 nucleotides long. RefSeq lists it as uncharacterized. Lineage: Eukaryota; Metazoa; Chordata; Mammalia; Rodentia; Sciuridae. The record is from RefSeq and is a predicted model, not a curated record. The transcript has 3 exons.